ACAUACACAUCCGCCCGGGUACUACGAGCACAGCUUAAAACCCAAAGGACUUGGCGGUGUCUCAGACCCACCUAGAGGAGCCUGUUCUAGAACCGAUAACCCCCGUUAAACCUCAUCACUUCUUGUUUUUUCCGCCUAUAUACCGCCGUCGUCAGCUUACCCUGUGAAGGCUUAAUAGUAAGCAAAAUGGGCCCGCCCAAAAACGUCAGGUCGAGGUGUAGCGUACGAAGUGGAAAGAAAUGGGCUACAUUUUCUAUAUUAUAGAAUACUACGAACGACACCUUGAAAUCAGGUGUCAGAAGGUGGAUUUAGUAGUAAAAAGCAAAUAGAGCGUACCUUUGAAUUAGGCUCUGAGACGCGCACACACCGCCCGUCACUCUCCCCUCAUACCCCUCCUUCAACUAAUUCAUAAUAAAUCAACCAUAAAUACGGGGAGGCAAGUCGUAACAUGGUAAGUGUACCGGAAGGUGCACUUGGAAUAAU
Molecule: ribosomal RNA, 483 nt
Filed under: Hemibagrus sp. WK-2011
Lineage: Eukaryota; Metazoa; Chordata; Actinopteri; Siluriformes; Bagridae
Description: partial 12S ribosomal RNA
Rfam family: Bacterial small subunit ribosomal RNA
Source: RNAcentral